This 510-nucleotide ribosomal RNA is filed under the name uncultured candidate division MSBL1 archaeon. Its description in RNAcentral is "bacterial SSU rRNA". It matches the Rfam family "Archaeal small subunit ribosomal RNA", at positions 343 to 848 of the family's 1478-position model. The record is from RNAcentral. Lineage: Archaea; Methanobacteriati; Methanobacteriota.
GAAAAUUCUGCAAUGCGUGCAAGCGCGACAGAGUGACUCCCAGUGCCGAUGGUCUAGCGACCGUCGGCUUUUCUGGAAUGUAAAAAGUUUCAGGUAAUAAGGGCCGGGUAAGACUGGUGCCAGCCGCCGCGGUAACACCAGCGGCCCGAGUGGUAACCGAUUUUAUUGGGCCUAAAGCGUCCGUAGCCGGAUUGGCAAGUCCCUUGUGACAUCGGGCGGCUUAACCGCUCGGCUUGCAAGGGAAACUGUCAGUCUUGGGACUGGUAGGCGCCUAGGGUACUCCAGGGGUAGCGGUGAAAUGCUAUAAUCCCUGGGGGACCGCCAGUGGCGAAAGCGCUCGGCGAUGCCGGAUCCGACGGUGAGGGACGAAAGCCAGGGGAGCAAACCGGAUUAGAUACCCGGGUAGUCCUGGCCGCAAAGGAUGUGGGCUAGGUGCUUGGCGUUCCUCGAGAACGUCAGGUGCCGAAGGGAAGCCGUUAAGCCCUCCGCCUGGGAAGAACGGCCGCAAGG